UCAGUCGACUGGGAGCUGCGCGAGGGGAUGGGUGUGUGUCUCUGUUUCUCCUGACUCUGCCUGAAUUUAACCCGUUACUGACCUUUGCGUUUGAAAAUUCACAUACGUAACUAUGUAUCAAUUGAAGUGACUCUAGGGCGUGUGUGCCGAGGAUUUGGGGAGCGAAGUGCAAGGCGGAAGACAGUUUAUUGGCCAGUCUGUGUGUCUAUUUGCUUCUGUUCUUGGGUUCGCCUCCCACGCACAGCUGACCUGACCUCUGACCUCCCCCAGGCGUCGCCAUGAACGGGGAAGCGGUGCCCAGUUUUUCCUCCCCCGAGCAGGAGGCGGAGUACUGGAGGAAGAAGGCCACGGAGUACAAACAAAGCCUGGAGGAGACCCGGGAGGAGCUGGAGGAGUUUCAGAGUGGCAGCAGGGAACUGGAGGCGGAGCUGGAGGCGCAGUUGGAGCAGACUGAACGAAGGUGUUCUGAGUACCAGGCACAACUUAACCGAGUAGCUGUAGAGAAUGAUUCCCUUAAGGAGCGUCUGGAGAGGCUACAAAAUGAGUUUAAUGGGCAAGUCAACACACUGCAGUCCGAGUUGGUAGACCUUAAGAGCAUCCAGGAGGACCUUACCCGCUAUAUCAGGGAGCUGGAGCAGUCUAAUGAUGACCUGGAGCGAGCUAAAAGAGCUACAGUGACAUCCUUAGAAGACUUUGAGGCCAGACUGAACCUGGCCAUCGAGCGCAAUGCCUUCCUGGAGUCUGAGCUGGAUGAGAAGGAGGACCUCAAGGUGACAGUGCAGAGGCUGAAGGACGAGGCCAGAGACCUACGUCAGGAACUCAGCAUCAAGGACUGCUCUGAGCCUGACAAUGACAAGGCCCUCAUGAACCAUCACAACCACCAGUCCACCUCACCCCAGAAGCUGCACAUCAAAACUCCCCCUAAGCUUGAUGUGGCACUCCCUGCAUCCCCAGCAGGAGGAGCAGGCAUGGACUCCAAUAAGCUGGUUUCCAAUGGUACCCAGCUGACAGAUACAGUCCCUGCCACCCCUGUUGUCAUAUCCUCGACCUUGCACAACAACAACAAUAACAGCAAUAACAUGAGUAAUGGCAGUGUACCCAUGACUCCCUCAGCAAGAAUAUCCGCACUUAACAUUGUGGGGGACCUCCUAAGAAAAGUCGGGUCUUUCAGGCAGAUGUGUUGUGGCCCCUUGGCUGAACUCAACUUUCUAGGUGACUAAGACUGUCUCUGCCCAUUCCCAGACUCCAGGUGCUAUUAGGCCCUGGAGUCCCGGCUUGCCUCCUGCCGCACCUUGGUGAAGGACAACCAGCGCCCCCUCGGCCUGCCAGCGCCAGGCAACCACUCCACCAGAUAAAAAUUCAGCAGAUAAACCGAGACUUGAAUAGGGUGAACUCAGUAUUCAGAGCAGACAGAAACAGCUGACAUGCACCCCCUCCCCCACCUCCCCCACCAGCAGCCACCACCCCCACCAUCACCAUCCUCGCACCACCGUUACCCCCGCCUAGGCCUGCACCUCCUCCAGCCAGCCUCCCUCACCCCCAGGGAGGCCACCAGAGGACUCAGCGCGGCGCAGGUUUCCCCCUCCAGCAGCACCCCCCAGAAGAGCCUCCCCCCCAGGGACCCCCAUGGAGACUGUGGGGUGGGGGCAGGGUGGUGGAGGGAGACAGAUAGGAGACUCCAAACCUCCAGCAAGCUGACGGGUGGAGGCUGCCGGGCUGCCUCCACCCACCACCACCGCCUCCAGCAGCCGCCGCCACACUGCAGCAGCUUCCUCUACACCAACCCUCACCCGCUCUCCAUCACGAAAAAGGAGUAUUUUUUCUGAAAACAAGAGAUGUGGCCUGCUGCUCUCCCCGUGGAGGGAAACGGACAGACUAAUCUGGGUUUCAUCUGUGAAUAGUUAGGUUAGUUGAUCAUAAAUAUUAUAUAUAUAUAUAUAUAUUGUAUUGGAACCAUUGAGUGAGAGGUGACUCUCCAAAAGAGAAAGAAGAGGAGGAGAAGGAGAAGGAGGAGGAUGUGUGUUGUGAUCUAUUCCCAUUAUUUUGUUUCCAAUCAACUCAAGUGAUGUGGCUCUGUUGUGCACUCUCAAGAAUAGCAGAUGCAUUAGUGCUUGAAAAUCUACACUGCGCAUAACAUAAGUGGAAGUGAUAAGAAUGCAGCCUAGAAAAUAAAAGGAAACAUUCAUCAAAGCAUCACCGCUGACUAUAACAUGUAUUCUUGGCUCUCUCACUUUGUAUUUAGUGGAGCAGCAUGAAUGAAACAACAUUGUAAAGACUUCCUUGUGUCCACUUACUUCCUUUCUCUUUACUUUUCAAUUACUUCUGUGGGUGAGACUGUGUGAAGCAAGGGGUGCUACAUUUAUAAACAUUAUUUAAUUCAUACAACACAAUACUUUCAUGAACUGUCCUAGCGUGUCUUACAUAAACUAUCCUUCACUCUACGAGAUCUGCUACUCACCCCUCAGUGAUGUCUGUGGCUCAUGCAGCAUCACCUUAAUCCCACACUCUCCCCUAAGUCUGCCUCAUACCACAUGCUGCAUCAAGCCACUUGCAUUACCUCACAAGAGCUUCAUGACACCCCUAUAUGUCUAUGUAGACAAGAGCCUGAGAGGAGAGACAAGGAUGAGUGCCAUGUCAGCCCAACGCCCACCUCGCUGACCUACAAACUCCUGAAGGAUGCCAUCUCGCUUGACUCAUGUAAGGAGGUCAGUCGAGAAUCCCAAUGCCUUAUCUUCCACACUUCCUGUCCCUUCUUCAGUGUCACUGUAUAUACAGUACGGCAGUCACAUUCUCAGGACAGAUUUAAAUUCUGAUUUCCCUGCUGUGGAAGCUCACCAGUCUCCUGGAGGACAACUAAGUAGACUUGUCACAGGUAUUGUGAAAGGUCUGGUUGUAAUGCUCUCUGACCUCUCACUCAAGCCACUAGUUCUCCGGAGAUGAGAUGAGAGCUUGAAAACUCUCACAAGGGCAAGGUUGAGAGCAUCAGAUGGCUUAUUCUCCUGAUGAUCAAUCACAUUUUUAGGUUUAUGUCCUUCACUGGUUUUGAUAAUGUGCGUUUAAUAAAUAUAUUUUUUUUAGACCUUGGUUGGAAAAAUGAAGUAUGUGCAUAGUCACAAAUUUUUUAUUUUGCUAUUUUGGGUGUAAUCUGGACAGUGGACUCAAAAUCAUUACUGAAAAUUGUUUAAUUAGAAUGGUUUCAACAUUAAAAAAUUAAGCUUUAA
Molecule: RNA transcript, 3221 nt
Organism: Scylla paramamosain (green mud crab)
Lineage: Eukaryota; Metazoa; Arthropoda; Malacostraca; Decapoda; Portunidae
Gene name: nuclear distribution protein nudE-like 1
Exons: 10
Source: RefSeq, a predicted model, not a curated record